RNAcentral lists this ribosomal RNA (33 nucleotides) under Heterodera schachtii. Its description in RNAcentral is "partial 18S ribosomal RNA". The record is from RNAcentral. Lineage: Eukaryota; Metazoa; Nematoda; Chromadorea; Rhabditida; Heteroderidae.
GUUUCCGUAGGUGAACCUGCAGCUGGAUCAUUA